RNAcentral lists this long non-coding RNA (8641 nucleotides) under Homo sapiens (human). Its description in RNAcentral is "HSALNT0388102". Lineage: Eukaryota; Metazoa; Chordata; Mammalia; Primates; Hominidae. The record is from RNAcentral.
AGCCCAGAGAUCCUUUAUUUUUUUUUGUUUAACACCUAUUAUGCCAUGAAUUCAUAGGGAAUAGGUUCCAGCAGCUCAGGCGCCUUCCCGUUGGUUCUCACAAAGUGUGCUUCCCUGGGUGGAGCAGGCUGGUGCUUUAGUUGAACCCAGGUACCUUUCUCUUUGGCUUCUUUCUUUUUCUGAUCAUUUUCCUUCACGCGUUCCAGGAAGCUAUCUCGGCUCUUAGAGUGCUUUAUGUGCUCAAUACGCACAUUAAUUCUCUUGGCAAGAAUCUUGCCCUUAACUUGUUUGUUUACAACAAUGCCAACAGCAUGCUGGGGAACAUUGUAGACUCUUCCAGUUUUGCCAUGGUAACCCUUGUGGGGCAUUCCUUUUUGAACAGUACCCAUUCCCUUGAUGUCUACAGUAUCACCUUUCUUAUAGAUUCGCAUAUAUGUGGCCAAAGGAACAUCUCCAUGUUUUCUAAAAGGCCUAGAGAACAUAUAUCCGGUGCCUCUCCUCUUUCCCUUUGUGUUCGUCAUUUUGGCGAAUUACUGGAAGAUGGCGGUUCCGGCCGAAAGGAAACCCCUUCCUCUCCUUUCUAUGCAAGUUUGAUCUCUGCUUUUCCAGAGCACCUCCUGUGAGACGGGCUUCCCACCUACAGAAGCCACAGCACCUGGACUCUUGGGCCAGCAGGGGCUUCCACCACAUGUUGACCAAGACUAGUGCCUAAGACUAACAGGGGAAGUGGGGACAGGUUGAGGACACAGGGCUGUGUGGGUGGAUCAAUGUGGCCAAGUUCUGAGUGCCAGCUCCUCAGCCUCCCAGGCUGGUGAGCAGCUGGAUUCCUGCAGGGGCCUGGGACCCAGCCCCUUGUCAUGGCUCUGAGGCUGCUGCUGGGAACACCCACCAGCCUAAUUCUCCAACCACCCACUUCUCUCAACUGGCUUUUUUCUUUGCCAGCAAAGAGUUGAAAUUCACAAGCUGCGUCAAGGUGAGAACUUAAUCCUGGGUUUCAGCAUUGGAGGUGGAAUCGACCAGGAUCCUUCCCAGAAUCCCUUCUCUGAAGACAAGACGGACAAGGUGAGGGGGUCUGGGGUCCUGGGACCGCUCCAUGGGGCACAGGGGCCUGAGAUGGUGGGUCUCUGCUUCCUGGGCCUGCAUGGAAGGAACAGACUUCAUCUCUCAAACCAUGCUCUCUAAGAAGGCAUCGGAAGUGACCUAGUGAGAAUAAGGACGGGUGGGGUGAGGAAGGGCUGCUCAGACAGAGCCCAGGAGGAGCAGGAGGCGGCCAUCAGCAGGGCCGGUGCAUGGUGGUGCAGCAACUCUGCCCCGGCUCUCUCAGAACAGUCCUCACUGACCAUAUGUGCUGGGAGAGGCUGGGUGCAGGGACAGAGGGACGGCUGAGAAUGUGCCAUGCUGGCUUCCGCUGUGUGAUAAGGGGCCAGUCCAGUGACCACAGGGCUUGACUUGGGCUGCCCCUUUCCAGGGUAUUUAUGUCACACGGGUGUCUGAAGGAGGCCCUGCUGAAAUCGCUGGGCUGCAGAUUGGAGACAAGAUCAUGCAGGUAACAGGUGUCCCAAAGGAGGAGAAACAAGGUUUGGGCAAGCAGGUCUGAAGCACUUGGGGGUGGGGAGCUGCCCCAGCCUCCCAGCUGGGAGAGACUCACUGCAGCCAAUUGGGAACCCAUACUGGCAUUGCCCCAGAGGACGCUGGCUUUCUCUCCUGUGUGUCUCAGCCACAGUGCUUGGUGUCUCCCAGCCCUGGGAUGUUAGGCUGGGGGCCUACUUGAAUGACCUGGGCCCCCAAAGCCCUCUGCUUCCAGAUCCCAGAGGGCGGGGAGCUGAGGUGAGCCUGUGUUCUCUCCUGGGGCCAGGUGAACGGCUGGGACAUGACCAUGGUCACACACGACCAGGCCCGCAAGCGGCUCACCAAGCGCUCGGAGGAGGUGGUGCGUCUGCUGGUGACGCGGCAGUCGCUGCAGAAGGCCGUGCAGCAGUCCAUGCUGUCCUAGCAGCCACCACCAUCUGCGACUCCUGCCUGCCGCCUCUCUGUACAGUAACGCCACUUCCACACUCUGUCCCCAUCUGGCUUCUGCUGACCGCUGGGCCCCAGCUCAGAAGGGCUAUAGCUGGUCCCAGAGGCCUGGCCUGGCCUUCCUUCCCUUCUCCCAUCCCUGGCCUGGGGCCUCUGGGACCGGCUUUCUCUCCUGGACACCGAGGAUUGGAAAUAAGGGCCUGGAGCUGAGUAGUAGCCAGUCUGCUGUGACCACAGGCUCAGGUCCGACCCUGCUGCUUGGCCACAGCAGUGGCUGGGCAAGUGGGAACCACUAUCUCUUGGGAGCCCCCAAAAGCUGGGAAAUGCUGGAGGAACCAGGCCUUUCCCGCUUUUGCCUGGCUGCAGGGUUCGGCUCCGCCCCUGCCCCCCAGCCCUCGUGUGUCCACACCGCAGUGCCUCUGCCCCUCGGGGGACUGGACACACAUCCUGCCAGAGGCGCUACGAAGCUUUGCCCAGAUGAAGCCAGGUGGGCUCCGCGUUCACUCCCACUCUCCCGAGGGGUGCUGGCCUCCCCAGGGUUUGCCUUCUUACGGAUUUAGACGAGGUUCGAGGCUCACCUAUCAGGGCAGCUCUCAGGAUUGUCAUUUUCCUCUUUGCCUGUGGGUUUAACUUUUGUAUUUUUUUAAUCACAAGUUUGAUACAAAAUGUUUUUAUCGUACUCUUUGGAGAUGCCCAUUCUACUUUUGAAUUUAGCUUUUACUAAUUCGCAUCUGGAAGCUCAGCAAGUGCACAAGCCUUACUUUGGUUACCGUGGAAACCACUGCCGCCCCUCCCCGAUGUGGUGCGCUCAAUAAAAAUGCUGGAAUUCACAGGGGGCUUUGCUGAGGCAUGGGCUGGGAUAUCGGGGUGGGGGUGGCGGUGGGAUAUUGGGGCCAGAGCUGUGGUUUUAAUGAUGGCCCCAUCCCCCACUGUUCUGGGACAAAGCUCAACUACUCCCAGGCCCACCUGCCUGAAAGCCCGGGGCUGGUGGAGCCGCAGCAGCUGCACUGCGCCUGACCAGAACCACAUCUGUGGGAGUGUCUGGGAGCACUGGGGUGGGACCCUGGGGUGCGUGUGCUUUCUUGGGUGUUACUGUGAAGCCCCUACUUGCUCCCAACCUCCUUUUUGCAACCUAGCCUCAGCUCCCACCUGGGAGGGGCCGUAGGGACACCCAGAGGUGCCUGGGAGAGACCCCUGCCUAUAAGACUCCCUGCCUAUAAGGGCACUCCGUGUAUCCCAGCGAGGGACACAACCCCACGUGUUGCUGGGGGCCGUGAUCUGGCCAGAUGGGGGUGAGUCAGAGAGCACCUGACUACCUGCGUACCACCUCUGGGAAGGUGUUAGCACUCCUGGACCUACCUAGCACUGCCAAAUCAGAUUUUAAAGAAAAGUCAAUAAUUUUUUUUUUUUUUUGAGAUGGAGUUUCGUUCUUGUUGCCCAGGCUGGAGUGCAAUGGCGUGAUCUUCGCUCACUGCAACCUCCGCCUCCUGGGUUCAAGUAAUUCUCCUGCCUCAGCCAACCAAGUAGCUGGGAUUACAGGUGCCCGCCACCAUGCCCAGCUAAUUUUUGUAUCUUUAGUAGAGAUGGGGUUUUGCAAUGUUGGCUAGGCUGGUCUCGAACUCCUGAUGUCAGGUGAUCCAUCUGCCUUGGCCUCCCAAAGUGCUGGGAUUACAGGCGUGAGCCACCGCACUCAGCCGGAAAAGUCAAUCAUUUGAAAUCUCUGAUUUUUAAAGUAGGGCACCCAGUAACACAUUUACUGGGUGUUGCAAGUGAAACAGGUCUGUGGACCCCGUCAGGCCAAAGUCUGCUCUGCAGAAACAAGACCUGACAUUCUUUGACGUUUGUUACAACUAGAUAGAGGAAGCGUCUGGAGAAUAAGACCCCCACUGCCCCCGCUCCCAGUGCUGGUGUGCCCUUCAGAACCUCAUCCACCCCGGCUCACAUCCAGAUUGAGUGGCGUGCCCUGGUAACCGUGAAGACACGGAGCCUGGGAGACUGACCUGGCCCUGGGCGGGUAGGCGUCUCGCGCUACCCAAGAGGGCUCCCCAGUGAAGUGUGGGGUCAGCACGCAGCGCUCUCGGGUCAGUGACCUUCACAACCUUAUGCGCUUCCUUACACGAGGGGAGCAGGGCACCUGGCUCUGAAGGCCAGCACACCUGCCUUCUGUAUCGAGCACACAGAGUGCAGAAAGGAAGCGAGUAGGUUUUAAUUCAAGAUACAGGCCCCUCGCGUUGAUCUCGUAGAAGGAAACUCAGUGGACUGACAAGCUCAAGUCAUGUAUGAGGCACGUCCUGGGACCCCCACCCCUCCUGCCAUAGGAAGGACAGCUUUGGGCAGAGGGAAGGAGGUUUGAGAUCAGGGUUGGGCCCAUACAGAUUGUGUGAGGUGGUCUCAAGUACAAAUACUUAUCUGAGGCUCCUGAACAGGCCAGAAAUUGGUGAGUCUCAAGUAGGUGUCUGGGGAAAGAGAGGGAAGGGGCCUGCCCUCGCUCCAGGGGAGCUGGUCGCCGUUUGGCAGGCCUAACAGACCUCUAAGGCACAGACUGGUAGCAGGAGAGAGCUAUGUCCUGUACUCCAGAUGCUGGGUAAGGAGCAGCUGGAUGUGCUCAGAUGGGGCUAAUCUGAGAAGGUGGAGGUAGGAGAGAGGGCAGAAGAGAGUAAGCCACUUCCAAACGUCCCUCCAAAAAAUCUGAAAGGAGUUACUAUGCUAAUGCGCUGGGCAUGAAUCCAAUUCAGAACCAAUCUGGUGGGCCCCUCAUGGCUCAGAAAUACUCUGGGUAGGGCUGGCUGUUACUGCAGUCACGGACGCUGAGUUAUGUACAGAGAGUACGUCAGGAAAGUGGCCUUCAGAGAAAGAGCCCCAUGGCCUAACCCCAAAGUCCUAGCCCGUCCACCAGCACCUCUGAGUUCACUGGCCACGGCACCGGGCUGCUUGAUCUCUGGGAAUGCAGCGGUGGCAGCAAAGUGCCCUUGGCUCACCCGGCUGCAAGGUCAGCCCUUCAAGCUGCUUGCAGAAACGCUGGUAGUUUGGGGCAAGGCCUUCGGCUGCAAGCUUGGUGCCCAGUCCUGCCUGAGACGGCUGCCAGAGCCUGUGCGCGCUGCCUGAAGCCUUAAAGAAAAGAGAUGGCGGUGUCAAGGCGACGGUGCCACGUGCCUGGCCGGGGAGGCCCAGGAGGGGCCCGGACGAAGGCAGGCUAUUGAAUGGCCUCUGGCCCCAGGAGCAGAGUGGUCUCCUCUGUCCGCACACUGAGCCAGCCCUGUGUGCCAGGGCCCAACCGCUUCUCCGGCCUUCGCUGGGUGAGGCCUUCCCCAGCAGGGCACGAGGCCAGAGGCUGGGUACACUGGGUCCCUGGGUGCUAGUUCAGCUGGUCAUACCCCGGUCUCUUUCUGUACAAACAGAAGUGCUGGAUGAAGAAGACGACGUCGAAGACGAUGGAGAAGACCCCGAGUCCAAACUUGGUUGGGUCUCCGAAGAUCAGCGUCCACUGGUCUGUUAGCAGCCGGGGGACAGAAGCUGGUGUUAGGUUGGCAGCUCCUGAGGCAGCUGGAGCUUGUGGGGUGGUGGGCGGUGGGGGUCCCAGAAAACCACAAAGCCUCCAGCUACGAAGGCCCCUAGGUGGGUCUCUCCUUGGGGGCUGGAUUGGCUUGGAUCCCAGGUGGGGGUGGAGCCCUGGCUGGAAGGUCCCGGGAAGGCUGGCCCCGCCCGAUGCCCCAGCCGCAGGGUGGCCAGCAGCCCGCUGGCUGACUCACCGUUGUUGUAGGACUGGAGGAACAUCUGCAGGAGGCUGAAGCUGCCCCCGGUGAAGUCCAGGAGCACGUUGCCAAUGCUCCAGCCCUCAGUGCUUUUGUAGUAAAAGUUCAUGUAGGCCUGGGCCAGACAGACGGACAGACAGACGGAGGGCGGUGAGGGCUGGGCGGCUGCCUCAUGCGCCUCGUGACUGCCCCUCCAAACAAAAGCGGUUCUCAUUCCUCCCACUGGGGCCUUGGCUCCAAGGACACGGUGACCUUUGGGCUAUGACAGGCCUCAGCCAAGGAACAGUUUGGGUGGUCCUGGGGGUAGGCGUCUCAUCUGCAUGUACAGCAAGCAAAGGCCCCGCACCCCCCACACCUCACAGCUCCAGCAGAGGCGGGGCCGAUGCGGCCUUCCCCGUCUCCUCCACAUCCCUGGGGCCAAGGCCCUGUGCUAGUUUCCCUGUAGCUAUGAUUCUUCUUCUCACCUCCAGGCAAGGCUGUCCCCAAACUCAGCCUGGACUUCAUGUGCUUAGGGACUGGUGGGAGUGGGACUUCUGGUUUGGAAUCCUGGCUCCAUCACCGGAGCCUGCUGUCUUGGGCAAGUGACAGUUCUCCUAGCCUUGGUUUCCCCGUCUGUAGAGCGGGGUUAACGCCCCCCACAGGCCUGGCCGGGGCUUCCUGGGUCUGGUUGGGGGGGCGGGUCUGCGGGGAUGCGCCCCAGUCUGACUGCCUGUGCCCCACGUCCUCCCAUGCUGCAGAGCCCUGUGGGUCCUCUGACUGCUGUGACCUUUCCUUCCCCCCGUGAGGCAGGUCCUGGCCUCUCUGGUGGCCUCCCAGUGAGCCUCUAGUCAGUCCCUGUCUGUGUCCCGGCUCACCCUCUUCCGUACUUGCUGCUGCCCCUCCAGCAGUUCCAAACGUCUCCAACCUGGGCUCCUCCAUCCCCGGUUUCUUGGCCCCAAUCCCUCCCACCCUCAGGGACUGGGGCCCACUUCCCCAAACCUUCCCCUCCUCGGAAGCCCCCCCCAGCUCCCGGGACCUGACCCCAGCUUCCCAGCUUCAACAUGCUCAACACUGUUCAACCAGCCACAUCCCCUCACUGCCGCCCCGUGUCCCGCCCCAGCCUCUGUGCAGGCUGGCCUGGCCCGGAACGCCCGGGCUCCUUGGCCACAGAACUUAGUCCUGCUCAGCCUAAGAGUCCAGUCCUGCCUCCCAGUCAGAACGCUGGCCCUCCUGAGCUCACAGAACACGAGGCUCCCAGGGCUGGGGGCACUGGAACAAGGCUUCUCCCUUUGGGAAUGGGGUGAGUUAAAUGAGGCCCUAGGUCCCCGGGUGCAGCAACUUCAGCCCUGACCCUGUCCCAGGCUGUGGGGCAAGAUGUGCUGGACCCUGAGUCCCCGGAUCUGAAGAGGACCGGCUAUGCUCAUAGGACGGGCUGAGCUCUGCGCGGGAAGGGGCUCCCUCCUCCCACCUCACCUCUCCAGAGUGUCCUGCUGUGGAAAUGGAGGCAGUGGUGAGGGCAGAGCCAAAGGCAUCAGGAAAGGCUGGGGUGUGGAGAAGGGGAACCACCCGCACACCUGAUGCUUAGGGGAGCGUGGGGUCCAAGGGGCCUCCGCUAGCGAUCUCCUGUGAUUCCAGCCCCGGGGGAAGAGCGGCAGGCUGGCCUCCCCACCGCCCCGCUCCCGCUGGGCUCCCGGGCUCCCUGUGGCUUUCCGUCCUGUUUCCUCACGCCGGCAGGAGCUGCCCCACCGGAGCAGGGCCUGGGCCAUGUAGCUCUCACCUCUCCUGCCACCGGCCAUGUGAACAGGGCCCUGGAGGUACCUGUGGAAAAUACUUGACCAGCGUGACUGCGAGCUUGAUGUAGGAGAAGCAGAAGAGAAACUGCAGCCACGUGGUCACUCCCACUGCAGCCACGAUCAUGGUGACAAAUGCGAAGAGCCACGCGAGCACCAGGAAGCCGAUGGCAGGCCAGGACACGCGCUGGCCACCGCGCUGGGGGCGAGAGGAGGGCAGAGAUGUGGACCCACACAGAGGCCACGCCGGGGCUGAGCAAGGACGGCCCCGGAUAGGGCGGGCUUAGAGAGGGGCACGGAGGCUGGACCCUGGCCUUGAAGGAGCCCCUGCAAGGUGGGGGCUGCACUGGGGUUGUGGCAGGGGAACAUGUGGACCACAGAAAGCAUCACACCUGGGCUGGUGCUGGACAUCCCCAGCACCAACCACACCUUCUCAUCGCCAGGGCCUCCUGUUCAGGCUGCUUGGACUCUCAAGCUCUGUCUGCUUUGUUCCUACUUGGCAGAACUGGGCGCCUCUCAGCACUCACUUGGAGACGUGGGGUCGGAACUCUGGUGGCCUGGUGCCUCUCCCAGCCAGGACCUGGAUGAAUGAACACACACCCUUCCUUUCCCAGGCUCUGCCGUGUCUUCUGUCAAAGGUGAGGUGGGGUGGCGGGUGUUGGCUGGGGUGGCCUGUGGGGGGCCAGGGCUGGUCUCACCUCAUACAGGCAGCACUGCACGAUGAUGAUCAGCGUGAGGACAACCGCGUGCAGGCUGAAGAAGACGUCGUUGCUGUUCACGGGGUUCACUCCGUUGGGGUAUUUGAGGAGAAACUGCUCCUGUUUGGUGGGUGGGAGAAGCUGGGUGGUGAGGGGCAGCCGGGCCACCACGCCAUGUGGGCAGAGAUGUAGGGCAGGCAAGGCCGUACCUUGAUGUAGGGCACCCAGAGGAGGCCGAUGUUGAAUACACUGUAGGCCACGAAGCCCGUCAGGUUCAGAGCCACGAAGUCGAAGCUCAGACCAAUGACACUGCAGGGGGUGGAGGGACAAGACAGGGCAGGGGGUGAAGACUGGCAGGGGUGGAGGGACAGGGCAGAGGGUGAGGACUGGCGGGGGUGGAGGGGCA